This 501-nucleotide ribosomal RNA is filed under the name uncultured bacterium. Its description in RNAcentral is "bacterial SSU rRNA". It matches the Rfam family "Bacterial small subunit ribosomal RNA", at positions 21 to 518 of the family's 1533-position model. The record is from RNAcentral.
GGCUCAGAACGAACGCUGGCGGCGUGCUUAACACAUGCAAGUCGCGUGCGCAGUUCCUGUAGCAAUACAGGGGAUGGGCGCACGGCGCACGGGUGCGUAACACGUGGGCAAUCUGCCCUCCGAUGGGGAAUAACCCCGCGAAAGCGGGGCUAAUACCGCAUAACAUUCCUUGAGCGAUGGUUUGAGGAUUCAAAGCAGUAAUGCGUCGGAGGAGGAGCCCGCGCCCGAUUAGCUAGUUGGUGAGGUAACGGCUCACCAAGGCAAUGAUCGGUAGCUGGUCUGAGAGGAUGAUCAGCCACACUGGAACUGAGACACGGUCCAGACUCCUACGGGAGGCAGCAGUGGGGAAUCUUGCACAAUGGGCGAAAGCCUGAUGCAGCCGACGCCGCGUGGGGGAUGAAGCUUCUCGGAGUGUAAACCCCUUUCGCCUGGGACGAAUGCCCGCAAGGGAGUGACGGUACCAGGAUAAGAAGCCCCGGCUAACUACGUGCCAGCAGCCGC